UGCAGUCGAACGGUGAAGAGAGCUUGCUCUCUGGAUCAGUGGCGAACGGGUGAGUAACACGUGAGCAAUCUGCCCCUGACUCUGGGAUAAGCGCUGGAAACGGCGUCUAAUACCGGAUACGAGCUGCGAAGGCAUCUUCAGCAGCUGGAAAGAACUUCGGUCAGGGAUGAGCUCGCGGCCUAUCAGCUAGUUGGUGAGGUAAUGGCUCACCAAGGCGUCGACGGGUAGCCGGCCUGAGAGGGUGACCGGCCACACUGGGACUGAGACACGGCCCAGACUCCUACGGGAGGCAGCAGUGGGGAAUAUUGCACAAUGGGCGCAAGCCUGAUGCAGCAACGCCGCGUGAGGGACGACGGCCUUCGGGUUGUAAACCUCUUUUAGCAGGGAAGAAGCGAAAGUGACGGUACCUGCAGAAAAAGCGCCGGCUAACUACGUGCCAGCAGCCGCGGUAAUACGUAGGGCGCAAGCGUUAUCCGGAAUUAUUGGGCGUAAAGAGCUCGUAGGCGGUUUGUCGCGUCUGCUGUGAAAACCCGAGGCUCAACCUCGGGCCUGCAGUGGGUACGGGCAGACUAGAGUGCGGUAGGGGAGAUUGGAAUUCCUGGUGUAGCGGUGGAAUGCGCAGAUAUCAGGAGGAACACCGAUGGCGAAGGCAGAUCUCUGGGCCGUAACUGACGCUGAGGAGCGAAAGGGUGGGGAGCAAACAGGCUUAGAUACCCUGGUAGUCCACCCCGUAAACGUUGGGAACUAGUUGUGGGGUCCAUUCCACGGAUUCCGUGACGCAGCUAACGCAUUAAGUUCCCCGCCUGGGGGAGUACGGCCGCAAGGCUAAAACUCAAAGGAAUUGACGGGGACCCGCACAAGCGGCGGAGCAUGCGGAUUAAUUCGAUGCAACGCGAAGAACCUUACCAAGGGCUUGACAUAUACGAGACGCUGCAGAAAUGUAGAACUCUUUGGACACUCGUAAA
RNAcentral lists this ribosomal RNA (965 nucleotides) under Microbacterium sp. BA-162-09. RNAcentral's name for it is "bacterial SSU rRNA". It matches the Rfam family "Bacterial small subunit ribosomal RNA", at positions 56 to 1034 of the family's 1533-position model. The record is from RNAcentral. Lineage: Bacteria; Bacillati; Actinomycetota; Actinomycetes; Micrococcales; Microbacteriaceae.